Haliotis rufescens (red abalone) is the source of this 405-nucleotide long non-coding RNA. RefSeq lists it as uncharacterized. NCBI's taxonomy places the organism in Eukaryota, Metazoa, Mollusca, Gastropoda, Lepetellida, Haliotidae. The record is from RefSeq and is a predicted model, not a curated record. The transcript is spliced from 2 exons.
GGCCGAUGUAGUUUUUGUAUAUAUUUGUUUUAAUUUCAUUUUAGGUUUUUACGUAUAUUUAUCAUAUAUAACUAGUUGUCCGUUUCAGUCAGCUAUAACAAAGUGUAUCUGACCUGUCUUACCUACUAACUGCCCCAUGGCCAGAAGCUUCAUUUGCUGAUUGGCCAAGCUAACACCUAUUGUUAAACUGCAUGCUUUGAUUACACUGCAUACUCUCUCAGCACAUAAACUGACAGAACUGCUCAGACCAGCAAAGUGUAAAGAGACAAUAUUAAAUCAGAUAAUCUAUGGUGUUGCCAUACGUGUGGCAGUUGGGAUCCACACCCUUGUAUCACCCACAGGGGUGUAUGAUAUAUAGAUCCUUGAUCACACUCAACGCAUCGCAAUAAAGACCUCAACCCCGUA